This 253-nucleotide ribosomal RNA is filed under the name uncultured bacterium. Its description in RNAcentral is "partial 16S ribosomal RNA". It matches the Rfam family "Bacterial small subunit ribosomal RNA", at positions 524 to 776 of the family's 1533-position model. The record is from RNAcentral.
UACGUAGGGUCCGAGCGUUGUCCGGAAUUACUGGGCGUAAAGAGCUCGUAGGUGGUUUGUCGCGUUGUUCGUGAAAACUCACAGCUUAACUGUGGGCGUGCGGGCGAUACGGGCAGACUGGAGUACUGCAGGGGAGACUGGAAUUCCUGGUGUAGCGGUGGAAUGCGCAGAUAUCAGGAGGAACACCGGUGGCGAAGGCGGGUCUCUGGGCAGUAACUGACGCUGAGGAGCAAAAGCUAGGGUAGCAAACGGG